Molecule: ribosomal RNA, 1899 nt
Filed under: Shigella flexneri
Lineage: Bacteria; Pseudomonadati; Pseudomonadota; Gammaproteobacteria; Enterobacterales; Enterobacteriaceae
Description: partial 23S ribosomal RNA
Rfam family: Bacterial large subunit ribosomal RNA
Source: RNAcentral
AGUUAAGUUAGAAAGGGCGCACGGUGGAUGCCUUGGCACUAGGAGCCGAUGAAGGACGGGAUUAACACCGAUAUGCUUUGGGGAGCUGUAAGUAAGCUUUGAUCCAGAGAUUUCCGAAUGGGGAAACCCUCUAUCCGUAAUGGGAUAGAAUCUUUACCUGAAUACAUAGGGUACUGAAGGCAGACCCGGGGAACUGAAACAUCUAAGUACCCGGAGGAAGAGAAAGCAAACGCGAUUCCCUGAGUAGCGGCGAGCGAAACGGGAUUAGCCCAAACCAAGAGGCUUGCCUCUUGGGGUUGUAGGACACUCUAUAUGGAGUUACAAAGGAACGGGGUAGACGAAUCGAUCUGGAAAGGUCAGUCGUAGAAGGUAAAAACCCUGUAGUCGAAACUUCGUUCCCUCUUGAGUGUAUCCUGAGUACGGCGGGACACGAGAAAUCCCGUCGGAAGCAGGGAGGACCAUCUCCCAAGGCUAAAUACUCCCUAGUGACCGAUAGUGAACCAGUACCGUGAGGGAAAGGUGAAAAGCACCCCGGAAGGGGAGUGAAAUAGAUCCUGAAACCGUGUGCCUACAAGUAGUUAGAGCCCUUUUAUGGGUGAUAGCGUGCCUUUUGUAGAAUGAACCGGCGAGUUACGAUUACAUGCGAGGUUAAGUUGAUAAGACGGAGCCGCAGCGAAAGCGAGUCUGAAUAGGGCGAAAUAGUAUGUGGUUGUAGACCCGAAACCAGGUGAUCUACCCAUGUCCAGGGUGAAGUCCAGGUAACACUGGAUGGAGGCCCGAACCCACGCACGUUGAAAAGUGCGGGGAUGAGGUGUGGGUAGCGGAGAAAUUCCAAUCGAACUUGGAGAUAGCUGGUUCUCUCCGAAAUAGCUUUAGGGCUAGCCUCAAGAUUUAGAGUAUUGGAGGUAGAGCACUGUUUGGACUAGGGGCCCCCAUCGGGUUACCGAAUUCAGACAAACUCCGAAUGCCAAAUACUUAUUCUUGGGAGUCAGACUACGAGUGAUAAGAUCCGUGGUCAAGAGGGAAACAGCCCAGACCACCAGCUAAGGUCCCAAAGUAUACGUUAAGUGGAAAAGGAUGUGGAGUUGCUUAGACAACCAGGAUGUUGGCUUAGAAGCAGCCACCAUUUAAAGAGUGCGUAAUAGCUCACUGGUCGAGUGACUCUGCGCCGAAAAUGUACCGGGGCUAAACGUAUCACCGAAGCUGUGGAUUGACAUCUAUGAUGUCAGUGGUAGGAGAGCGUUCUAAGGGCGUUGAAGCUAGACCGUAAGGACUGGUGGAGCGCUUAGAAGUGAGAAUGCCGGUAUGAGUAGCGAAAGAUGAGUGAGAAUCUCAUCCACCGAAUGCCUAAGGUUUCCUGAGGAAGGCUCGUCCGCUCAGGGUUAGUCGGGACCUAAGCCGAGGCUGAAAAGCGUAGGCGAUGGACAACAGGUUGAUAUUCCUGUACCACCUUUAAAUCGUUUGAGCAAUGGGGGGACGCAGGAGGAUAGGGUAAGCGUGCUGUUGGAUUAGCACGUCCAAGCAGUUAGGCCGGUAAUGAGGCAAAUCCCAUUACCAUACGGCGGAGCUGUGACGGCGAGGGAAAUAUAGUACCGAAGUUCCUGAUUCCACACUGCCAAGAAAAGCCUCUAGCGAGAUUUAUGGUGCCCGUACCGCAAACCGACACAGGUAGGCGAGGAGAGAAUCCUAAGGUGAGCGAGAGAACUCUCGUUAAGGAACUCGGCAAAAUGACCCCGUAACUUCGGGAGAAGGGGUGCUCUUUUGGGUGUUAAAGCCCGAGAGAGCCGCAGUGAAUAGGCCCAGGCGACUGUUUAGCAAAAACACAGGUCUCUGCGAAGCCGCAAGGCGAAGUAUAGGGGCUGACACCUGCCCGGUGCUGGAAGGUUAAGAGGAGGGGUU